AGAACAGAGGAGGGGGAAAGAGACAAACCUCUCCAAGGAGCUCGGGAACCCCUUCGCUUUGUGUUUGACUGCUCUGCUGCGAUGGACUCCAGGUGAUGUUAAGGAAGGGGCGCAGGUGGAGAGGAGGAUUUCUAGAAAUCAGGAGGUGGCAGAGAAGCAACACAGCUGCUGUGUCUUUACUCCCCGUGUUCCUUUCCAAGAGGCCUAACACGAGCCAGCAGCUCGCCUUCGAUGAUCUUUGAAACCAUUCCUCAACGCCCUUCUACAGGGGGAAAACCGGGUGAGGACUCUCGACUAGUUGUUUUGUUUGUAGGAAACUGGACGUUACUGGGAAUCAUUGGGAAGAAAUGCGAAGAGGAAGAAGAAGUUAAUACAGGAGGCAAGAAGAACCUCCUUGACAGUAACAAACCAGUAAUGGCAAAUCCUUGUCUACAAAUCCAGGAUCAGUUGGAAUACACACGCCUCAGACCCUUUAUCUGAUAAAUAGCAAGACUGACUUGAGUGAGAAAAGAGAGGAAAAGCCGCCUUAGAACAACUUGAUAUUUCCCAGAGAUUUCCUCAUCGAAUUUUAAUAAACUGAUUGCUCUGUCCUCUUGAAUAUCAAGCUUUCUUUCAAAACCACGGCUUCUUCUUUCCCUCUCGCUUAAGGCGCUCUUUAAAGAAAUCGACUUUUUAACGACAAACCCGUCUAGUAGGAAGUUUUGAAAGGAGGGCUGGAAAGAGACGACAGGA
Molecule: long non-coding RNA, 732 nt
Organism: Hemicordylus capensis (graceful crag lizard)
Lineage: Eukaryota; Metazoa; Chordata; Lepidosauria; Squamata; Cordylidae
Exons: 3
Source: RefSeq, a predicted model, not a curated record